RNAcentral lists this ribosomal RNA (253 nucleotides) under uncultured bacterium. RNAcentral describes it as "partial 16S ribosomal RNA". It matches the Rfam family "Bacterial small subunit ribosomal RNA", at positions 524 to 776 of the family's 1533-position model. The record is from RNAcentral.
UACGAAGGGUGCUAGCGUUGUUCGGAUUUACUGGGCGUAAAGCGCGUGUAGGCGGGUCGUUAAGGUGGGGGUGAAAUCCCGAGGCUCAACCUCGGAACUGCCUUCAAAACUGGCGACCUGGAGCAAGAUAGAGGCAAGUGGAAUUGCGAGUGUAGAGGUGAAAUUCGUAGAUAUUCGCAGGAACACCAGUGGCGAAGGCGACUUGCUGGAUCUUUGCUGACGCUGAGACGCGAAAGCGUGGGGAGCAAACAGG